UUGACCUGCGGUGCUUCGGCUACUCACAGUGAGGUUAUUGUAGUUUGACUGCACACAUACUUGGUCUCUAGCCAUAUGGGUCCAUGCAGUGUAGAUUGGCUGCAGUAAGUUCACUGUAGGAGUAGGGUAUGCACCUAUAAGGAAUCUAUCGACCUUGAUAGAAGAGGAGUGAUCCUAUGUGAUUUGUUAGACUGAGUUCUAAGACCUUGGCCAGGGCAGUAAUAUAAAGUAGAAAAAGAGUUUUCCACUAUCGAACUCAAGUCAAAUAAAUCUUGACAUAUGACAGACGAUGGGGUUUGACGAGUUGUCCAUGACCUCCGUCCUGUAGGGAUCCACGAUAGUAGGACUGUAUCACACGUUAACUGCACCUAGAGAUUCAUCUUUCUAUUCUACUGGGUAGCCACUACAUGCUGCUAGGUGUCACUGGUGGAUGGUGGGACUCAUAGGGAUUAUCUUGAUGAUCGAUAAACCCUAA
Molecule: long non-coding RNA, 475 nt
Filed under: Phoenix dactylifera (date palm)
Lineage: Eukaryota; Viridiplantae; Streptophyta; Magnoliopsida; Arecales; Arecaceae
Description: long non-coding RNA (PDAC_LNC022823)
Source: RNAcentral